Molecule: long non-coding RNA, 771 nt
Organism: Lycium barbarum (goji berry)
Lineage: Eukaryota; Viridiplantae; Streptophyta; Magnoliopsida; Solanales; Solanaceae
Exons: 3
Source: RefSeq, a predicted model, not a curated record
UAUGCUACAAAAGUUUCACUUUGGACAAGUCAAAAAAAAAAACGUACUGUAUAAGACUCAUAUGGUUAAAUUCAAGAGACAAAAACGUUAACAAUAAAUUGGUGUACAUAGUAGGUGAAUUUUCAGAUACGACAGGGUUUAGGAGAAUGCAUUUUGUGCACCGCUUCGAUCUCGUUGUUCGCUUUGUCGUGUUGCUGAAUUCGGGCUCUCUUCGUAGUGAAGUAAGGUGGAAGAAGAUUAUUUCUUCGAAUAUAAGGUUUAUCAUAUUAAUUGUGGAAGUUCUUGGCUGGACUGAGCUCUUGAACGACGUAGGGUACAAAUGCUCACGUUGGUAACCCGCCAGCUUAGGAGUCCUAUUCAGCUAUCUUGGAGAGCUCCCUUGUUCCGGAGCCUAGAUUUUGGUACAGAAUCUCUUGUGGUGUAUAUGUAUUUUAUCCAGGGGUACGGCGGGGCCCUGUCCCGUCAUAUGAUACUGUUGUUACUCUUAGAGGUCUGUAGACAUAUGUGUGGGUUGUGUAUCGAUGUUGUUCAGUUGUGUCUAUAUGGCUUAUGUUUUGGGACGUUCCCAUUCGUAGUGGCAGUCUUGUCGGCUUGCGUAGAUAUAUAUAUAUAUAUAUAUAUAUAUAUAUAUAUAUAUAUAUAUAUAUAUAUAUAUAUAUAUAUAUGUUUUGAGAAGUAAUGUGUUACGAUAGCCUUGUCGGCUCAUUUAUGGCGGGGGUGUUCCCUUAUAUAUUAUGAAAGCCUUGUCGGCUUAUGUACUAUAAUGUCUGU